ACAGGGACCAUCCUGCCAGUCAGUCACAGGGACCAUCCUGCCAGUCAGUCACAGGGACCAGCCUGUUGCAGAGGGGCCAUACAACCGGUGGGCCGACUUCAAAUCCCGCCUGAAGGCAAAGAGGGCUGCGGAGUGGAAUGCCUCAAGGGCUACAGGUGGAGGAGCACCUGUCGCUGUAGAGUAUACUGACUUGGAGGAGAUGGCGAUGCCCUGUGUCAGUUAUGAGGAGGGCCAAGGGGUGUCUCAUAUGGACACGGACCUGCCUGAGAUCCUGACGGGACAUGACUUGGAAGCACAGGGGGGUGAUCCGUUUGAGUCACAGGACGGUUAUGUGGUUGAGGCUGAGGUGGAGGGACCUAGUGAGUCUGGCAGUGUGGGCCAACAAAUCCCACCUCUGCAGGUUCCUACUGGCCCCCCCACCCAACCCUCUGCUAUCCCGGAGAU
Molecule: long non-coding RNA, 444 nt
Organism: Pseudophryne corroboree (corroboree frog)
Lineage: Eukaryota; Metazoa; Chordata; Amphibia; Anura; Myobatrachidae
Exons: 3
Source: RefSeq, a predicted model, not a curated record